Molecule: ribosomal RNA, 269 nt
Filed under: uncultured bacterium
Lineage: Bacteria
Description: partial 16S ribosomal RNA
Rfam family: Bacterial small subunit ribosomal RNA
Source: RNAcentral
GUCCACGCUGUAAACGAUGAAUACUAGGUGUGCGGGGGACUGACCCCCUGCGUGCCGCAGCUAACGCAAUAAGUAUUCCACCUGGGGAGUACGAUCGCAAGGUUGAAACUCAAAAGGAAUUGACGGGGGCCCGCACAAGCGGUGGAUUAUGUGGUUUUAAUUCGAAGCAACGCGAAGAACCUUACCAGGGCUUGACAUCCUACUAACGAAGUAGAGAUACAUCAGGUGCCCUUCGGGGAAAGUAGAGACAGGUGGUGCAUGGUUGUCGU